This 73-nucleotide transfer RNA is filed under the name Pleodorina starrii. RNAcentral's name for it is "tRNA-Pro". The record is from RNAcentral. Lineage: Eukaryota; Viridiplantae; Chlorophyta; Chlorophyceae; Chlamydomonadales; Volvocaceae.
GGGAGUUUGGUCUAGUGGUAUGAUUCUCGCUUCGGGUGCGAGACGCCGCUGAGGUUCAUUCUCACAACUCCCC